UUGCAGUCAAUUAAGCCAGUCAGGUUCCUUUCCUCAGAGGGGCCUGGUGGGCAAUGGUGUGAACAGCAGCCUCCUUGAGAGUGUGUGCAGCCCUGAUGCCUAUAUGGAUUGCUCUAAGGGACCCUGGAGACAGUU
Molecule: small nucleolar RNA, 135 nt
Organism: Acomys russatus (golden spiny mouse)
Lineage: Eukaryota; Metazoa; Chordata; Mammalia; Rodentia; Muridae
Product: small nucleolar RNA SNORA70
Exons: 1
Source: RefSeq, a predicted model, not a curated record